This 878-nucleotide long non-coding RNA is filed under the name Lupinus angustifolius (narrow-leaved blue lupine). Its description in RNAcentral is "long non-coding RNA (LANG_LNC002637)". The record is from RNAcentral. Lineage: Eukaryota; Viridiplantae; Streptophyta; Magnoliopsida; Fabales; Fabaceae.
UCGUGCAUUUACAAUGAAGAAGAUAAUGAUUAUAUAUAGAGCCUAACUAACUAACUAAUGGAAUAGUCACACGUGAUUAAAAUAAACAAGAAGUUAAAGAUCAUGUUUUCUUGUUGUGCAAGGUAUCUGCACUAUAGCUAUAGACCCAUGCCUAUGCCAAGCUAAGUUUGUCCAAGCAACAUUGAUCAUGUAGUUACGGGAUCAUGUAGUUACGGUCAGAUGGCCCAUGUGUCCCAUGUGCCUUGACUUCAUUGUCUCGGUCAGAUGGCCCAUGCGUCGUGACUCUGUCGUCUUAGCCACAUGGCCCAUACGUCAUGUAGUUGAUACGGUCACAUGCAUUGGUGCCUCGGUCAUGUGCUUUGGUGCUGGUCCAGUCAUGCAUCUUGGUCCUGUCUCAAUCAGGUGACUUGGCCCUGUCUCGAUCAAGUGCCUUGAUCCUGUGAUUUUCUCGGUCACGAUAGAACUUGUCUCGGUCAUGGUUGAGAAUGCCUCGGUCAAGUUGCUUUCCUUGGUCAAUCUCAUUAUUGCUUAAUAACCCCUUUUCUUCUUCUAUUGUUGUGAAAAUUCUUGAAAUCUACUCUCCAAUUAUGUCCUUUUUCUUUGUGUUAUUAUUCAUUUUGCUUUCCCUUUUAUUAAAAUGACUCAUUUUCUACUUGAAAUUGAAACUAUGUAUUCCCUUAUACUUCAAGUGUGAAUCACCAUAUUCAAAUCCAAAUUCGAAGUUGAAGUAUUCUUGUCUUAUGAUGUGCCUUCUCUGUAUUUCAUGUUCUUUAAAAAGGUAUAAAAUAAAAAACCCAAUAAUAUGAAGCUCAAAAUGCAUUCUCUAAAGGAGAAUGAUGAAAAUAAAAAAUUGGAGAUAUGAAUAAGUUCUAAACAUC